RNAcentral lists this long non-coding RNA (364 nucleotides) under Lathyrus oleraceus (garden pea). RNAcentral describes it as "Pisum sativum (pea) long non-coding RNA (PSAT_LNC012229)". Lineage: Eukaryota; Viridiplantae; Streptophyta; Magnoliopsida; Fabales; Fabaceae. The record is from RNAcentral.
GAAAGCUUCCUCACAUUUGGUUAAGUCCUAUUUUGAUUCAAAAAUGACAUAUAUUUCAAUGAGUUUAUGAUAUGAAAUUUACACACACCAUCAAACUACUCAUGUUAAGUCUAGAAAGCGAUAAAGUGUAUCUUGAAAUGCCGACACUAAUUCUUAUCAUCACCACUCGAAGUGUCAUAUGCUUCUUUCUUUGCGAUCAUUUCUUGGUUGCUUUAAGCUUGACUUACGAAUAAGAACAAUUAAACAAAAAAUGUUGGUAAACCAAUUUGAUUGUAACACACUUAAAUCUCAAAAAGUAUUCAUGCAAUUAUCAAAACAACUAAUCAAACCAAAGUUUUGGUGAACUAGAGCCACCCAAAAGUAC